Molecule: transfer RNA, 90 nt
Filed under: Candidatus Saccharimonadota bacterium
Lineage: Bacteria; Candidatus Saccharimonadota
Also listed under: 1 other name
Description: tRNA-Leu
Rfam family: tRNA
About the family: Transfer RNA (tRNA) molecules are approximately 80 nucleotides in length. Their secondary structure includes four short double-helical elements and three loops (D, anti-codon, and T loops).
Source: RNAcentral
GCGCGCGUGGUGGAAUUGGUAGACACGCUACCUUGAGGUGGUAGUGGCCAUUUUAGAGCUGUGCUGGUUCAAGUCCAGUCGCGCGCACCA